GAGAGAGCGAGGCAAGGAGAGGAGGAGGAGGAGGGGGGAAGCUUUAAAUAAAGCCUUUGGAUUGCAGCUGCUUAUUUUGGGCAGUCCUACCAGGGACGAUUCUUGCCAAGAAAGAAGCUGGACCGGUCUUUUUUAUUUUGAUUUUGAUUUUUGGGGGUGGCAGUGGUGUGUUGCUGAGCUGCCUGCUGAGAUGAGCUCCGGUGCCUGCCUGUAGUUGCCCGCUUUGGGAUCGCUGGACACAUAAGUGGCAUUUCGCUGGGGGAAGCCUGCAGACAUGAUACGUUUGCUGUUGAUGCCUUGAUGCCUGUACUGCCUUGGAAUCUGAUCAUAACAAAAACACAUCUUCUUCCACUUCCCUGAAUUUGCACCUGAAAUUUGCCUGGAAGCAGAAGCAGAAACUCUAAACAAUUUGGUCUUCUUUCUUCUAUCUCCAGACUGUAAUUUUUGAUUUAUUUUGCUUCUAGAUCCCAUUGCUUUAUUGUGUCCUGUAUCAGGAAAGCCUUUUUGUAUAGAAAUGAGCUUUUCCUCAAAUGUACUUGAAAGGAGUUACGAAUUUCUGUUUCUAGCCAGGGAUUUGGUCUGAGAUGAAGAAAAUGUACUGCAUAGUAAUCUGAAUUAAGAUAUAACCAGAUGCAGUUGCAACUACAAACUCUUUGGUGCCAGGUUUUCAAGACUGCUGUGCGCUUUAACUGGGGGAAGCAAUGGGACCUAUAGCCAGAAAUGGCUAGCAGCAAGUCUUAUUCUCUUUGUUUUGGUGCAUGGGGACUGCUGGAAGACCAGUGCUGGGACGGCUUCCUUGAAUGGGGUGACGGCAAGGCUCACAGCACACAGCCCGCCAUCAGCAGGGUGCUGUCCAUAUAAAGUACCUACCAGACCCGAGCCUCCUGGGAAUGCACCCAGUCAGUCCAAUGAACGUCAGCUUUCAUUUCUUCAAGAGGGAGAAGAGGGAUGGAUUUCCCCAGCUGUGAGGGGAUUAAAUGCCAUUUGGGUUGACUUGAUAACCCAGGUUUUCAAGCAAUGGGGUUGUCUGCAUUGGCAUGAACAAAUUCUCCAUUGUAUUCACCUCAAACAGGCUUUUCUUCCCAUAUCAGCCUGCAAGAGCUUUUUGUUGCAAGGUUUGGUUCUUUUUCCACCAUAGAACAAACAUAUUUAUUGUCAACACUGCAGGAAACACUGCUUUCCUUACGUCUGUGUUCCCAGGUGUCUCUCUUACACUAUCCCAGGGCACUGAUAGGCUGUAGGAUCUUGUUCCAGAGCCUUAUCUGGUUUUCAUUUCAGUAGUCCUUUUUGAGUCUACUCCUAUACAGCAACUUACCCGUGUAUCUGUCUGACCUUCUGCACCAAAAGCCACUCCGCCCUUUAAAGCGCUGAAAUAGAUUUAACUUCUUUCAUCAGUCUGGCACGCGAAGCCCCAGACUUUACCCUCAGCUCCUCUCUAUAUCAACACUGCCAGCAAAGGAUGUUGAGGCAGUGGCUUUCCAGGCUUCAGCAGUGAUAUUAUCAGGCCAUUAACCCGAGUAAGCCGUAUCGCUCGCUAUACCCGCGUAUUUUGACACCUCAGAGUUACUUUGCACUUUCUCUUGCAGCAGACAGCUUCCUCUUUGUAGCUCGGUAGCUGCUUCAUGCACUGCUUCCAGGUUUGCCUUUUAGGAUGUGUAAAGCUUAUCUGCUUCCCCCCAUGCUCUUAUUUUUUGUUUCUAUUUUUCUUUUUUUUUUUCUUUUUUUUUUGCCUUGAAAAAACAGAUCUUCAGUCAGUGUAAAUGCAGUCAGCGGAACUGCAGUGAUUUGCAGGAGCUAGCUCUGCAGCCCCUGUUUGGAGAGUUGUUAACCAUUCGCUAUUCUUCCAAAACAAUUAAGAAUUCUAGGUAAAAUGCAAUAGCAUAACACUCAGAGCAAACCAUGCAUUUAACAGAGUGUGUUCCUUGUAAUGAGUGAAUUUUAAUAGGAUUAAGAAAAAACAUUUUUUCACGUGUCUGGGCAUCUUAAUUACUGUUUCUAGGUUGGUGGUAAGAUUGUCUUUGCCUUAUGC
Molecule: long non-coding RNA, 2029 nt
Filed under: Gallus gallus (chicken)
Lineage: Eukaryota; Metazoa; Chordata; Aves; Galliformes; Phasianidae
Source: RNAcentral